Long non-coding RNA from Gossypium arboreum, 481 nucleotides. RefSeq lists it as uncharacterized. The record is from RefSeq and is a predicted model, not a curated record. The transcript has 3 exons. Lineage: Eukaryota; Viridiplantae; Streptophyta; Magnoliopsida; Malvales; Malvaceae.
UCUAGAGAUCUCUUCAUAUUUUAUCAGCCAAAACGCCAUAGAAGGUCUGGAGAAAGCUGGUUUUUAAUAUUUUACAUCAUAUCAAGAAAACAAACUGAAUCGUGGAAAGGAGAAAAUUCAAGAAUAGUCCCUGAAUUUCUAUGACUUUUGCAAAUUAGUCCAGAUUGAAUUAAAGAGAAGUUGGUAAAUCGGAUCAACACAACAGGGCACACUAUUCAGAUCAAUUCCGGUAGUUUUUGUUUUAUGUUUAAAGAUUUAUAUGGCAUGUAUAGAGUUUGAAUGAAUUGAAGUAAAGAUAUUAUAAACUAGUUAACAAUAUUUGUACUAAAACAGUUUUUGGUAAGUAGCAGUAGUUUGACUUUGAAAAUUCACUUUAAAUUGUGGAAAUUGAGUUAAGGGCUGAGAAAAAAAUGAGAUUAAAGCCUAAUGAGUCUAGUUUCAUAUAGAGGAAACAGUGUAUGCAAUUGGAUUUUAUGCUAUG